GAAAUAAACAGGAGGCAUUACUUUUGGAGCAACCCAUGUAUAUGUGGCCCAGAACCAUUCCUCUUCACUCAAUACAGCUCAGACAAGCCAAAAGGUUGGAUAGCCAUGCUCUAAGGCUUCUGCUCAUCCAGAAGAGACUGCAGGGACUUCAGGUGAUCUUCGCCUCCUGCUGAACCAGAUAGGUAAAAAGGGAAAAGGUUAUAUUCUGAUAUCAUCAGGAGCAAUAUUGGGCAACUUAGGACCUCCUAUAUUUGGCCUAUGACUGUGACAAAUGACUUCGUGAAGGGAUGAGAAAAAGCUUCCACAGUGACAUUUAAAUUGGAACCAAAGUUUGAUGGCGUGCAGAUGAUUUAAAUACAUGUCACCAAUGCAAAGCUAUAACGGCGGAUUUUAAAAGUGCUUUUGCUUUCUUUAUUGCCAUUUUAACAUGCAUCUGGAGAGUGCUGUGAUCCAAUGGAGCCAUUGUAAAUAAGCUGCAAUAGUUGUCUUUCCAAGCUUUUCCUUUACUUGCAUUCCUCAGGUGAGCUGUGUUGUGGGGGCUAUAAAUAAUGAUUAUAAACUUAAUGCUUACUAUGCAGACAGAAUCAGCAGUGAUAAAGUCACCUGGCAGUAAGCACUCCUGACCUGUUUCUAGGUUUACUAUUCAGCAGAGGGUCCCGGCAUGUCAAACUCCUGCAAUUCAGAACUCCUCACCAAUAGCCAGCAAACACAUUCAUCCUUUCUCUAAACAUAUGAAGGAGGCAGAGCCGGGAUCACCAUCACUGGGAACAGGGAAAUCAUCUUCUGCAGUCAGCAUUGCCUGAUACACAUGUUUAAUACGUGCCCUUUGUAGUUUGCAGGAAGAUCUCCACCCUCCUCCAACAAGAAGUACACUGCCAUCCCUCCUAAAUCCAGGACUCGCAUCAAAAACAGACUGAUGGGAUGCUGUUGUGACAAGAGGAGAGGACAGGAUUGCCCACUGGAUGAGGAGUUGUGGAGCAGUACUCAAGGAAAUCCCAUCGAUCAGACCGAUUCAGCAGAGCUCUGCCGUAGGACCUGAGAAGAGGCCUGUGCUGGGACAAAACGGACCCACAGAGCUGAGCUCUGCUGUGAAGUGGGAGCACAGAGGCCCUCAGCACUCUCUGCUUCACCUGAGAAGUAUUCUGGGGGCAGCCAUGCAGAAAGAGGAGUGCUGAGCACCUGCAGGCCCCCCCUAAGGACAGAUCUCUGCAGACAGACCAAGGGAGGAUCAUCUAUCCUGCACUCAGCAGGCACAACGAUGCUGGGUCCUACCAGGAAAUGUGCUCUGACACACAGCAGCAACAAGAGACAGGAUUGAAAGUGGCUUCAGAGCUGUUCCCCGAGGGAUUUGGUCACUGUCUUACAGACAAGAAAAGAACUGCUGGGCUGGGACUUUGCCAUGACCAGGCAGCACCCCUGGGACUCUCGCAAGCUGCUCUGAUCUAAUCCUCAUGAAGCCUGACCCUUCCUUUCAAAUGAAACCUAAUCCAUCACCCCCUGAUUGUGCAAAACAUUAUCCGCUGACAAAUGCGGUGAUAGCGGUGCUAAUAGAAGCCUGAUGGAUGGCCAGGGCUGGGACUGCAGCUCUCCUGCCCAGCGACUCCUACCUGAGCUUCAGCAUCUGUGAGCAGGAGCUGGGAGAAGAGCAGUUUUUCUGGAGCUGCCCCAUACAGCCCAGCAUUUUGGCCGGUCUGUGCCAUGCCCUCCCUUCCCAGGUCUGCUAUGGGAAGGACUGCAGCCAGGCAGGGCUGCCUUCAGCUGCUGAGCUCCAAGCUCUGUUGUUUUCAUCCAGCCCAGCACGAAGGCGUAAGCUUUCCUAUUAGCUUUUAUUGUUAUUGUUAUUAUCUAAAUCGUGCAAGAAAAAGCAUUCACUGACCUAGUCUGCAAUAAACUAUAAGUGGUUCUGAAGACCAUGAAGAUGGACAACACGAGGCAGAAGUGCUGCACGCUCUGUUGAGUUUUUCAUUAGGAUUUUUCUCUCCCCCUGUCUAUUUCUCACACCCACUGGAUUAUGAAUUUACAUGCAUUAUAAUGAGAAUAACUACAAUCAUGAUAGAUAGGAUUUUUUUUUUUAAAUCUUUAUGUAAAAAGCUACGGAACAUAAGCGAGCUGUCGAAGUUUGAAGGAAUCAGCCCCAUUUUGGUCAUACACUUUCAUAUUUCUUGUUUUGGGGAUGCAGAGUGAGUCUGGGCUGCAAUCUAAAUUCUGCGGGGAGUUGUGGUUGACGGAAAUAAACCAUGUGUUGAGGGUGCCACGUGAGCUGAACAUAAACAUGAAUUAAACCCUGCAACUGUGAAGGAACCAGGACUGCUGCAAAACUGGUGCUAAAAACAUAAAUUUAAAGCCUAAAAUAAUGGAUUGGAAGCCGGUUUAAUUGCCUCAAUAAAGGGGUAACAUGAAAGUUAUGGGUGUCAGAGCAGAUUAAAUGUACCUCAGAAAUCAGAAUAUGCUGUUGAUGCAUGAUGGAUGAAUGACAGAAGCCUGAAAGAGGCUAUUACAUCGACACAGUUGUAUAGAAAAUGUGGUUUAGUGGUUAAAAAGGGUGAGUGGAAGGCAGGGGCUCUUGCUGGGGCACAGCAGCUUCUUGCAUUGCAGUGUGAGCUUGGGCUGAAGCUUCUUUG
RNAcentral lists this long non-coding RNA (2621 nucleotides) under Gallus gallus (chicken). Its description in RNAcentral is "long non-coding RNA NONGGAT004691". Lineage: Eukaryota; Metazoa; Chordata; Aves; Galliformes; Phasianidae. The record is from RNAcentral.